This is an RNA transcript of Musa acuminata AAA Group (dessert banana), 2620 nucleotides long. It is a transcript of the gene named ATP-dependent Clp protease proteolytic subunit 3, chloroplastic-like, with no coding region annotated. NCBI's taxonomy places the organism in Eukaryota, Viridiplantae, Streptophyta, Magnoliopsida, Zingiberales, Musaceae. The record is from RefSeq and is a predicted model, not a curated record. The transcript is spliced from 6 exons.
GAGAGGUCCGAAACGGAGGCAAUCGCGACCGUCGCCGUUUCUCCUUUGCCUUGCGAGACAAGCUCCUUUCCUCCUCCUCUUCCCCUCUCUUCUCUCAUGGUCUCCUCUCCACCCGCCGGCUCGCUCUGGUCCCGCCGAUGAGGCAAGCUCGUCCUUCCCUCCGAGUCGCCGCCGCCGGCCGUCGGAUGACCUUGUCGGAAUUGUGGGAUAUGUCGGGUUCCACACCGGGGGCUUUUCGGAUGCCGCGAUUCGAGGAGCUCGACAUCACCAACGUGGUCCUCCGGCAGCGCAUCGUUUUCUUGGGAUCCCAGGUGGAUACUGUGACUGCUGAUUGAUUAUCAGGCAGCUCUUGUUUAUGGAUGCGGAAGACCAAAAGAAGGAGAUUAAAUUGUUCAUAAAUUCACCUGGUGGCUCUGUGACAGCUGGAAUGGGAAUAUAUGAUGCUAUGAAACUGUGCAAGGCUGAUGUUUCCACUGUUUGCUUGGGUCUUCUGGCAUCUAUGGGUGCAUUUCUGCUUGCUGCUGGAACAAAAGGAAAAAAGAUUUUGCAUGCCAAAUGCUAGAGUCAUGAUCCAUCAACCACUUGGAACAGCUGGAGGCAAAGCGACGGAGAUGGGAUUGCAGGUAAAAGAGAUGACAUACCAUAAGAUAAAGAUGAACAAGAUAUUGUCAAGAAUUACAGGAAAAACUUGAACAACAGAUUGAAGUUGAUACUGACCGUGACAACAUGAAUCCCUGGGAAGCUAAGGAGUAAGGACUGGUCGAUGCUGUUAUAGAUGAUGGAAAAACAGGUCAAGUUGCGCCAAUUGCAGUCUGCACCUCCUCUGAAAACCCACGCAUGGGACUUGUGGAAAGUCGAAGGUAGCAGAAAAGCCAGGCAGAAUCUACCUUCGGAGCAGAAACUCUCACAAGAUGGAUAUAAAAUUGAUAGUCGAAAUUACGAGAAAGGCGAAGAACAGCCAAAGGAGGAUACGACGACCAUAUGAAACAAGCUAAGAUAUCUCUGAUGACUCAUUGGUGUUCCAAGGAAGGAUAAAUAUUACCCAAGUUAUCCACCCGGGGGGUAUCUAAUUGAAGGUGACAUCGACACAAAAGGGCUACAAGGUGGAUGCCAAGCUGCUGGUUACUACAUUGCUGUGGCAUUACCCUGUUGCUUUUGUAAAGGUCAGUUUUUUUAGACCUUACCUAGAACGAAAACAAGAAGACUGGUUUUGGUUGUGAGGGAUUGAUUUUUGCUGAUAGUUCCAUUCUUUCUCAAUGAAUUGGGCUAUGUUCUAAUCUUUUGCCAGAGGUUAUGAUUUACCCAUUAAUCUUGUAUGAUAAAGGAACAGAAAAAACCUCUGUUAGCUUUGUCUAAAUUGCUGCAGCUUAACUCCAUCUUUGACAAGUCAACAAAUAAUUACUAUUCAAGGAUUAGAGUUGAAAACACAGGAAAAAAAAUGGAAACCUUAUAAUAUAAAUAAUGAGUAAAACCUAUAUGUAAAUUAUGAACGGAAUAAUUUAUUUUUAUUAAUGCAAAUCUGUUGUUAAGUUUUCUGAAAAUUCUAUAAAUGAUAGAAAAAGAACCCUUUCAAAUUAUGCAUAUUAUGCAUUAUAAUUUUUCAAGUCUCCUUCUAUCUUGUAAUUAUUUUAUUUAACAAUAUAAAAUAAAAUGCUCAGUUACCUGAAUGCGUUUUAAAUUCGAUUUUUGUAUUAUUCAUCUCAAAUUUGAUCAGCGGAUAUCCAACCCUGCUUAACGGGUCGGAUCCUUAUAUGAAAAUCCGAGUCUCCUUCCACCGUGGUGGGACCCGGUUUAUUUCCAACAAUCACCGCGCAGCUAUGUUUGGCGGGUACGUUGUUUACGGGUAUGAGUAGAAAAGAAAAAGUCGCCCUAAAUCUCUAAUCCACGUUUCUUCCUCGCCGUCGACUGCCUCGGGAGAGAGAAGGGGAAUGGUCAUGGUCACGGCAUCGCCGGCAGCGGCGUCGCGCCCUCCUCUCGCUAUUCCGCACUCUGGUUCCACUUUCCCUCUUGGACCCCGUUGGCUCCGGGCUCUGCUCGACGUCCCGGCGGCGAAUGGGGCUCGGCCGCAAGGCCGCUGGCGACGCGACACCGCUGUUCGGUGCGAAGGCGGUGCCGCUGCUGCUGGGCAGCGGGUCCUCAGAACGUGCAAGAACUGCAAGCGGCAGUAUGACCCCGCCCUCAACCAUCCCUUGGCCUGCCGCUUCCACACCGCCCACUUCGGCGGAGAAACCAAGAGAAAGUUUGAGAGUGUGUACACAGGAGGGACCAUGGACACUCCUGACUCUGGCAAAGUGUUCCAGUACUGGCAUUGCUGUGGCUCUGAAGAUCCAUUUGAUGCUGGUUGCACAGCUGCUCCUCACUGCUCUUAUGAUGACUGAUAUCACAUGGUUGGCCUUCGGUACUUAUCAGUAAUGGACAAAGUCCUUCCUUUUUCCAACCGACGAUCGGCUUUGAUUCUGUAGCCCAAAGCAAAACGAUGAACAUCAUGUAUAGAAGCAGCUGAAGCAUCGACAAUGGAUCUUUCUUUUCUCAUACCUUGUGCUGUAUAAUUUUACAGGCAACAAUCCUGUUGUUGAUACAUAUCGGCUUCUAAUUUUAUUAUGCAGUUGAAUUAUAUUCA